CGUUCGAUAGCUCAGUUGGUAGAGCGGAGGACUGUAGAUCCUUAGGUCGCUGGUUCAACUCCGGCUCGAAGGG
RNAcentral lists this transfer RNA (73 nucleotides) under Gadus morhua (Atlantic cod). RNAcentral describes it as "tRNA-Tyr (GTA) (tRNA-Tyr-GTA-17-1)". It matches the Rfam family "tRNA". From Rfam's summary of the family: Transfer RNA (tRNA) molecules are approximately 80 nucleotides in length. Their secondary structure includes four short double-helical elements and three loops (D, anti-codon, and T loops). Further hydrogen bonds mediate the characteristic L-shaped molecular structure. tRNAs have two regions of fundamental functional importance: the anti-codon, which is responsible for specific mRNA codon recognition, and the 3' end, to which the tRNAs corresponding amino acid is attached (by aminoacyl-tRNA synthetases). tRNAs cope with the degeneracy of the genetic code in two manners: having more than one tRNA (with a specific anti-codon) for a particular amino acid; and 'wobble' base-pairing, i.e. permitting non-standard base-pairing at the 3rd anti-codon position. Lineage: Eukaryota; Metazoa; Chordata; Actinopteri; Gadiformes; Gadidae. The record is from RNAcentral.